GACGUAGGGCGCGAGCGUUGUCCGGAUUUAUUGGGCGUAAGAGCUCGUAGGCGGCUUGUCGCGUCGAAUGUGAAAACUCGGGGCUCAACUCCGAGCUUGCAUUCGAUACGGGCAGGCUAGAGUUCGGUAGGGGAGACUGGAAUUCCUGGUGUAGCGGUGAAAUGCGCAGAUAUCAGGAGGAACACCGGUGGCGAAGGCGGGUCUCUGGGCCGAUACUGACGCUGAGGAGCGAAAGCGUGGGGAGCGAACAGG
This 252-nucleotide ribosomal RNA is filed under the name uncultured bacterium. Its description in RNAcentral is "partial 16S ribosomal RNA". It matches the Rfam family "Bacterial small subunit ribosomal RNA", at positions 524 to 776 of the family's 1533-position model. The record is from RNAcentral.